Molecule: unclassified non-coding RNA, 352 nt
Filed under: soil metagenome
Description: partial contains 5.8S ribosomal RNA, internal transcribed spacer 2, and large subunit ribosomal RNA
Rfam family: 5.8S ribosomal RNA (bases 1-120)
Source: RNAcentral
GAUGAAGAACGUAGUGAAAUGCGAUAAGUAAUGUGAAUUGCAGAAUUCAGUGAAUCAUCGAAUCUUUGAACGCACAUUGCGCCCGCCAGUAUUCUGGCGGGCAUGCCUGUUCGAGCGUCAUUUCAACCCUCAGGCCCCCAGUGCCUGGUGUUGGGGGUCGGCCCAGCCUUCCUGUAAGGCCGCCGGCCCCGAAAUCUAGUGGCGGUCUCGCUGUAGUCCUCCUCUGCGUAGUAGCACAACCUCGCAGUUGGAACGCGGCGGUGGCCAUGCCGUUAAACACCCCACUUCUGAAAGUUGACCUCGGAUCAGGUAGGAAUACCCGCUGAACUUAAGCAUAUCAAUAAGCGGAGGA